AUGAACGCUGGCGGCGUGCCUAAUACAUGCAAGUCGAGCGAACAGACGAGGAGCUUGCUCCUCUGACGUUAGCGGCGGACGGGUGAGUAACACGUGGAUAACCUACCUAUAAGACUGGGAUAACUUCGGGAAACCGGAGCUAAUACCGGAUAAUAUAUUGAACCGCAUGGUUCAAUAGUGAAAGACGGUUUUGCUGUCACUUAUAGAUGGAUCCGCGCCGCAUUAGCUAGUUGGUAAGGUAACGGCUUACCAAGGCGACGAUGCGUAGCCGACCUGAGAGAGUGAUCGGCCACACUGGAACUGAGACACGGUCCAGACUCCUACGGGAGGCAGCAGUAGGGAAUCUUCCGCAAUGGGCGAAAGCCUGACGGAGCAACGCCGCGUGAGUGAUGAAGGUCUUCGGAUCGUAAAACUCUGUUAUUAGGGAAGAACAAAUGUGUAAGUAACUAUGCACGUCUUGACGGUACCUAAUCAGAAAGCCACGGCUAACUACGUG
Molecule: ribosomal RNA, 496 nt
Filed under: uncultured bacterium
Lineage: Bacteria
Description: partial 16S ribosomal RNA
Rfam family: Bacterial small subunit ribosomal RNA
Source: RNAcentral